This 498-nucleotide long non-coding RNA is filed under the name Mytilus galloprovincialis (Mediterranean mussel). The record is from RNAcentral. Lineage: Eukaryota; Metazoa; Mollusca; Bivalvia; Mytilida; Mytilidae.
GUUUGAAGUUAUUUUUCAAAAUUAUCAAAAUUUGUGGCCUGAGAAAACAUUGCGUUUAUAUUGAUAAUCAAAUAAAACCAGAUGCUCCGCAGGGCACAGUUUUAUACGACUGCAGAGGUUUAACCCUGAACGGUUGGGGCAAGUAUGGACCCAACAUUCAAGCUGGAUUCAGCUCUAAAUUUUGGAUUGUGAUUAAAUAGUUGACACAGCAUAGGUUUCUGACACAGAAUGAAUGUGGUCUAAAGAACUUAUAAAAAUGUUUUUUUGCUUUUGAGCAAUUCACUAUGCUGUUGAAUAUUAAUCCUCUCAAAAAAAUAAUGUUUUAAGAAAUUUUCUUUUUAUUUAUGAAAUCUGAAAUGAAACCCCCACCCCCCCCCCCCCAUUUUUUUUUCACAUCCCUCUUUCCCUUAUUCCAAAACUGAUCUAAUUCAAAUUUCUAAAAGAGUAUGCAACAAUAACUACUCAUUUAAAUACAUAUUAGAAUGUAAAAAAAGUGAA